UCGGGUUGUAAAGCACUUUUGUCCGGAAAGAAAACUUCUGCCCUAAUACGGUGGGAGGAUGACGGUACCGGAAGAAUAAGCACCGGCAACUACGUGCCAGCAGCCGCGGUAAUACGUAGGGUGCGAGCGUUAAUCGGAAUUACUGGGCGUAAAGCGUGCGCAGGCGGUUCGUUAAGACAGAUGUGAAAUCCCCGGGCUUAACCUGGGAACUGCAUUUGUGACUGGCGAGCUAGAGUAUGGCAGAGGGGGGUAGAAUUCCACGUGUAGCAGUGAAAUGCGUAGAGAUGUGGAGGAAUACCGAUGGCGAAGGCAGCCCCCUGGGCCAAUACUGACGCUCAUGCACGAAAGCGUGGGGAGCAAACAGGAUUAGAUACCCUGGUAGUCCACGCCCUAAACGAUGUCAACUAGUUGUUGGGUCUUCAUUGACUUAGUAACGUAGCUAACGCGUGAAGUUGACCGCCUGGGGAGUACGGUCGCAAGAUUAAAACUCAAAGGAAUUGACGGGGACCCGCACAAGCGGUGGAUGAUGUGGAUUAAUUCGAUGCAACGCGAAAAACCUUACCUACCCUUGACAUGGUCGGAACCCUGCUG
This 591-nucleotide ribosomal RNA is filed under the name uncultured Burkholderia sp. RNAcentral describes it as "bacterial SSU rRNA". It matches the Rfam family "Bacterial small subunit ribosomal RNA", at positions 418 to 1003 of the family's 1533-position model. Lineage: Bacteria; Pseudomonadati; Pseudomonadota; Betaproteobacteria; Burkholderiales; Burkholderiaceae. The record is from RNAcentral.